UACGUAGGCGGCAAGCGUUAUCCGGAAUUAUUGGGCGUAAAGAGCGCGCAGGUGGUUAAUUAAGUCUGAUGUGAAAGCCCACGGCUUAACCGUGGAGGGUCAUUGGAAACUGGUUGACUUGAGUGCAGAAGAGGGAAGUGGAAUUCCAUGUGUAGCGGUGAAAUGCGUAGAGAUAUGGAGGAACACCAGUGGCGAAGGCGGCUUCCUGGUCUGCAACUGACACUGAGGCGCGAAAGCGUGGGGAGCAAACAGG
This 253-nucleotide ribosomal RNA is filed under the name uncultured bacterium. RNAcentral describes it as "partial 16S ribosomal RNA". It matches the Rfam family "Bacterial small subunit ribosomal RNA", at positions 524 to 776 of the family's 1533-position model. The record is from RNAcentral.